This is a long non-coding RNA of Brassica oleracea var. oleracea, 596 nucleotides long. RefSeq lists it as uncharacterized. The transcript has 3 exons. Lineage: Eukaryota; Viridiplantae; Streptophyta; Magnoliopsida; Brassicales; Brassicaceae. The record is from RefSeq and is a predicted model, not a curated record.
CCUAGGACCUCACCCUUUAACAACACUCCUCCAGGAUGACUUGUCACCAAUUGAUCUGUUGUCACAGCCCAAACCCAGCAAAUUUUAAAACCUUAAACGUAAAAAUCACAUUUUAAGCCAAAACCCUAAAAAGAGUAUUUUAGUAAUUUUGAAUGAUCUGAAUCCUAACCUCUUCUACAUAUAUAUUGAGGGAACGACCUAGAGAAGAGGGAGAAACAAUUUUUACGGCGAAGCUCUGCCAAAAUAACCGACAACGCAGCCUGCAGUUACUCUGAGACAUCAGUACCAAGUUGGGAUUUUGGAGAGAAGUUUGCGACCAGAUACGAAAGUGUUAGGCAAAGAACUAAAGUUGGAUUGAUAGAUCUCGUUUCAAGAAAGACACAGCAACUUUCGGAUCUCAAUUACGAGAGCCAUAUUGGGAAGAGAUUUCUGGUUGAUACAAAAGGAUUUAGGUGACGUUCGGGAUAUUGUUAGAAAGCUGACGUUACCAUCUUUCUAUAUCCACUAAGAACGCUUCAUUACGAGUUUCACAUAGGAGUUUUCUGAGAAGUUUUUCCGGUGAACCAGAGAGAGUCAGGACGCGAGUAAGGUGUCUA